Molecule: non-coding RNA, 107 nt
Organism: Erinaceus europaeus (western European hedgehog)
Lineage: Eukaryota; Metazoa; Chordata; Mammalia; Eulipotyphla; Erinaceidae
Source: Rfam
GUGGUUGCUUAAGCAACACAUAUACUAAAAUUGGAAUGAUACAGUGAAGAUGAACAUGGCCCCUGCACAAGGAUGUCAUAAGAAUUUGUGAAAUGUUUCAUAUUUUA